This is a non-coding RNA of Podospora appendiculata, 75 nucleotides long. The record is from the annotation of a GenBank genome assembly. NCBI's taxonomy places the organism in Eukaryota, Fungi, Ascomycota, Sordariomycetes, Sordariales, Podosporaceae.
GCCGGCGUGGCGCAAUUGGUUUAGCGCGUCAGACUUUUAAUCUGAAUGUUGCGAGUUCGAGUCUCGCCGUUGGCG